CCUACGGGUGGCAGCAGUGAGGAAUAUUGGUCAAUGGACGCAAGUCUGAACCAGCCAUGCCGCGUGCAGGAAGACGGCUCUAUGAGUUGUAAACUGCUUUUGUACGAGGGUAAACGCAGAUACGCGUAUCUGUCUGAAAGUAUCGUACGAAUAAGGAUCGGCUAACUCCGUGCCAGCAGCCGCGGGAAUACGGAGGAUUUAAGCGUUAUCCGGAUUUAUUGGGAUUAAAGGGUGCGUAGGCGGUCGGAUAAGUUAGAGGUGAAAUACCGAGGCUCAACUUCGGAAUUGCCUCUGAUACUGUGCGGCUAGAGAGUAGGUGCGGUAGGCGGAAUGUAUGGUGUAGCGGUGAAAUGCUUAGAGAUCAUACAGAACACCGAUUGCGAAGGCAGCUUACCAAGCUACUUCUGACGUUGAGGCACGAAAGCGUGGGGAGCAAACAGGAUUAGAUACCCUGGUAGUC
This 460-nucleotide ribosomal RNA is filed under the name uncultured bacterium. RNAcentral describes it as "partial 16S ribosomal RNA". It matches the Rfam family "Bacterial small subunit ribosomal RNA", at positions 338 to 795 of the family's 1533-position model. The record is from RNAcentral.